UNUGACUUGAGUGCAGAAGGGGAGAGUGGAAUUCCAUGUGUAGCGGUGAAAUGCGUAGAUAUAUGGAGGAACACCAGUGGCGAAAGCGGCUCUCUGGUCUGUCACUGACGCUGAGGCUCGAAAGCGUGGGUAGCGAACAGGAUUAGAUACCCUGGUAGUNCACGCCGUAAACGAUGAGUGCUAGGUGUUAGGCCCUUUCCGGGGCUUAGUGCCGGAGCUAACGCAAUAAGCACUCCGCCUGGGGAGUACGACCGCAAGGUUGAAACUCAAAGGAAUUGACGGGGGCCCGCACAAGCGGUGGAGCAUGUGGUUUAAUUCGAAGCAACGCGAAGAACCUUACCAGGUCUUGACAUCCCGAUGCUAUUCUUAGAGAUAGGAAGUUACUUCGGUACAUCGGAGACAGGUGGUGCAUAGUUGUCGUCAGCUCGUGUCGUGAGAUGUUGGGUUAAGUCCCGCAACGAGCGCAACCCUUAUUGUUAGUUGCCAUCAUUAAGUUGGGCACUCUAGCGAGACUGCCGGUAAUAAACCGGAGGAAGGUGGGGAUGACGUCAAAUCAUCAUGCCCCUUAUGACCUGGGCUACACACGUGCUACAAUGGUCGGUACAACGAGUUGCGAGCCGGUGACGGCAAGCUAAUCUCUGAAAGCCGAUCUCAGUUCGGAUUGGAGGCUGCAACUCGCCUCCAUGAAGUCGGAAUCGCUAGUAAUCGCGGAUCAGCACGCCGCGGUGAAUACGUUCCCGGGCCUUGUACACACCGCCCGUCACACCACGAGAGUUUGUAACACCCGAAGU
RNAcentral lists this ribosomal RNA (791 nucleotides) under uncultured bacterium. Its description in RNAcentral is "bacterial SSU rRNA". It matches the Rfam family "Bacterial small subunit ribosomal RNA", at positions 636 to 1427 of the family's 1533-position model. The record is from RNAcentral.